RNAcentral lists this long non-coding RNA (1283 nucleotides) under Anser brachyrhynchus (Pink-footed goose). RNAcentral describes it as "lncRNA (ENSABRG00000020020.1)". The record is from RNAcentral. Lineage: Eukaryota; Metazoa; Chordata; Aves; Anseriformes; Anatidae.
UUGCAAGACUGAAAAGCAAUGGGUGUUUAUAGUCGGAUGAUGAAGUAAGAGGGUUAUUGUCAUUGUGCCAGUGUCAGCUAUUUCAGAUAACUUUAUGUCUGCCUGCUGUCUGCUGAAUGAAACCAUAGACAACGUGAUAUCAGCUUUGUCUGCAAUUGCGACUUUUAGGCUGGAAAAAAAAUAACCUUCUUGACAUCUCUUGGGUCUGCAGUGUAGAUGGGCCAUUAACUUUGUGCACACUCUUCACACCAUGCAGACAAUAAUAUUUGACUAACUCGCAGUGUUGCUGCUAAGUGAUGACUGUGCUCUGCGUUGAGGUUACUGGAAGGAAGGCUCUGUUCUUGCAUACUGUCACGAGAAAGAUACAGAGGAACAAAAUAUCACCAUUUGCUUGUUCUUCUGAGUGCCUGGGGAUGGAGUGACAUGAGGCCCUGAGCUAGGAAGGGAAAGACUGAACUCCUCAGGUUUCAGGUUUUCAUAUUCCUCAUGAAAAUGAUGAUUUUUAAGAUGUGUUGCUUUUGCAGUUGCGCAGCAAAGAGGACCUUUGAGUAACUGGAGCAAAAGGACAAUAGCCUCAUCACAAGGGUUGUUCUGGAUGACAGUAUAGGAUAGCUAAAGGGGAAAAAAUGUAAGAAACAUCGCACCAGCAGUUAAUUUGCACUAUUUCCAACAAUUCAGCUAAGACCAGAGAAAACAAAUAUAUGGGUUUAAAGACGGUUGCUAUAGAAACCAGAAGAGAUUUUAUAGUUGCUUAUGAAAGUAACGGAGGUUCUGAUUGAUAAGACAAUCGCAUUCACAGAGUCACUAUGGAAACCCAAGGUGACCCGGAGGAGACGUGACUCCUCUCGCUCUGCUCCUGGGGGCAGAUGGAGGCAGCGUGGAUGGGGGAAGGUCUGGGCUGGGCGAUGAAGCAUGCUUGCUGUCAGGCUAGAGAUGCUCAGCAUUUCACAUUUCAAAGCUGUGAGAGUGCUGAUCGCUGUAGUGGAGACAUUGAAACUGCAGGCUACUACUGGAAAUGGAGGCAUCACCACCGCUGUGGUGGGGCCACAGUAACCCGGAAUGGCUGCAGGCCUGGAAGCAGGGAGAGCGGAUCGGAUGCACAUUACCUUGAAUGAAGUUCCUGCUGGUUUUAGAGAUAAGCAAAAUUGUUACCUAUUACUAAAGCUGUCGACUCAUGGCUGGAGGUAGAAAUCACUGCUUUAAUGGAGUCCUAAUGAUCCUGCUACAAAGAAUGAGAGAAAGAGAGUAAUAUUUAAUAAAAGAUGUGCUCAUGGGAAGGUGCA